Molecule: long non-coding RNA, 255 nt
Filed under: Vicia faba (fava bean)
Lineage: Eukaryota; Viridiplantae; Streptophyta; Magnoliopsida; Fabales; Fabaceae
Source: RNAcentral
AUGCAUUAUCUUGGUGGUCAUUACUUUUUGUUUUCUUUAUUUUUGGCUGACUCCUCUUCCUGUUCUAUUGAUCAAAAGAAAGGUUCUAGUUCAUACGAACGUCUGUUACGUGCGUACCUAGGACUGGGCCGGAUUCGAACCGACCAAGAAAAGGCAAGUGCCAUUCUUAUAGGCCAAAGAAAGACAGUCCAAUCAUCUAUGUCGAAGGGGCAGGUACGUAGUCACUCGAGCGAAGCGACAGCUUAUAUCAUAUAA